This is a long non-coding RNA of Cervus elaphus (red deer), 1438 nucleotides long. RefSeq lists it as uncharacterized. The transcript is spliced from 2 exons. NCBI's taxonomy places the organism in Eukaryota, Metazoa, Chordata, Mammalia, Artiodactyla, Cervidae. The record is from RefSeq and is a predicted model, not a curated record.
GCGUCUGCAGGCGGAGAUGCAGGUCAGCCCAGCCCCGGCCUCCUGACCCUCACUCCCUACCUCUGCCCAGGGGCCCAGGGGACUGGCUGAGGUGUGGGGACUCCGUUCUCCCUCCCAGGGGAGCCAGACCCCUGGAGGGGCCCAGGGCCGGGUGAUCCCUUCUGGGCCUCAGCUGCCACUUGGCAGCACGGACCUCACGCUGCUGACUGAAAAGCCUCCCUCCACCGUGAAGCUGUGUUCGGCUUCAUGAGCGAGAACAGGCACGGGCAGAAGGCCCUGGAGAGGGCGGUGCUGGGAGAAGCCCCCCCCCCACGUCCGUAUUCACAGAAGCUCUGGCAGUCUCGCCAGCAUCUCCGCCCCGCCUCACCCUCCUGGACCAGAGAGGGAUGAGAGGGGCCUUCCCGGGGUGGAGGUCCACCAACCUGAAGCUUGGGGUCAUGCCCCCCACACUCUCCUGCACUCAGCUCACAAGCUCUCAUCAUCACCUGCCACAGCCCUUAUGAAUCUCAGUAGACCGGGGCGGGCAGAGUCACCAGCUGAGGGGGCACAGGGUGGGAGUCUGGGUAGCUCCCCCUUGGUUCCUGUCCACGAUCUCCACAGAAGCCACCAGCCUGGGUCCUGAGCUCAGCCAGGCCCUGAGACGCCAUGAACACCUUCCAGGGGCUUCUUCCUGCUGCCCUGAAGCAGAGAAAAUGCCCAUCUAGGAGCCAGUCACCCAGUGCUGCCAUGUGUGAGAUGAAAGCCAAAAGGGUUCCAAUGGAGAUAACACACAAGCUGUCUGCAGGGCCCUCCUCCUCAGAGCAAAGAGGCUUGUCCCCGCUGCUUCCCCUCUGUCUGGCCCGGCUCCCCACCCCCUCACUGGACACCAGCCUUCCUGCUGAUCCCUGUGCCGGUCUCCACGGCCACCCUCCUUGUUCCUGAACUGUGCUGCUAGAGGGAGCUUCCUGCAACCCCCAGGGUGGCUCCUGCAGCCCCCAGGAUCAAGUCCAAAGGCCUGGACCUGCGUACCUCUCUGGCCUCCAACAUCACCAAGGCCUGGCCCACUCCCCAGCCUGCUCUGGGCCCAGCCUGGAGGCCCUCCACUACAGGACUGUCACAGUGCUGACUUUGGCUGCGUGAGUUGGGAGUUGCAUGAGGUGUGGGUAUCACCCACAGAAGGAAGGGGCCAGGUUUGGGAACCAUGCUUCUGAGGCAGUCUUUUGAAGGCCACGGCCAACUGUUAAGUGUCCACAUGCUGUGGAACUAGUAAGAGGGGUGCUUCUUUAUACAGGCAUGAGCAUAAGACUGAUGGCUUGCUGGCCAUGAAAUUGAAAACCUGUAUUUAGAAUACUGACCACUGACAUUGUCUAACUAUACUGUUAGGUUUCGUGGGAAAAGGGCUGAGACUAUCUCCCUGGUUUCAGAUAUUCUUAAUAAAAGGGCAUUUUACAACUCUUAA